Molecule: transfer RNA, 73 nt
Filed under: Mustela putorius furo (domestic ferret)
Lineage: Eukaryota; Metazoa; Chordata; Mammalia; Carnivora; Mustelidae
Rfam family: tRNA
About the family: Transfer RNA (tRNA) molecules are approximately 80 nucleotides in length.
Source: Rfam by way of RNAcentral
GCCUACCUGGCUGAGUCGGUAAAGCACGCAAUUUUUGAUCUUGGGGUCAUGAGUUUGAGCCCCAUGCUGGGUG